GAGGAUGGGGAUCUGUGAUGCAGUAGCUGUUGCCAAAAUUUUAGAUGCAACACUUGUAAUUCCGUAUCUUGAAGUAAAUCCAGUUUGGCAGGAUUCAAGUUCCUUUGCAGAUAUAUUUGAUGUUGAUCACUUUAUCAGUGUCUUGAGUGGUGAUAUUUCUAUAGUUAAAGAGCUUCCCAGUGACUACUCCUGGAGUACCAGAGAAUAUUAUGCAACAGGCAUACGUCCUACUAGAAUUAAGACUGCA
This 247-nucleotide unclassified non-coding RNA is filed under the name Hevea brasiliensis (rubber tree). Lineage: Eukaryota; Viridiplantae; Streptophyta; Magnoliopsida; Malpighiales; Euphorbiaceae. The record is from RNAcentral.